This 3225-nucleotide long non-coding RNA is filed under the name Oncorhynchus kisutch (coho salmon). RNAcentral's name for it is "lncRNA (ENSOKIG00005038274.1)". Lineage: Eukaryota; Metazoa; Chordata; Actinopteri; Salmoniformes; Salmonidae. The record is from RNAcentral.
AGGAGGGGGAGAGUCAGGAACCAAACUCUAGUACUGAGCAGGAGAGAGAGUAGGAGGGGGAGAGUCAGGAACCAAACUCUAGUACUGAGCAGGAGAGAGAGUAGGAGGGGGAGAGUCAGGAACCAAACUCUAGUACUGAGCAGGAGAGAGAGUAGGAGGGGGAGAGUCAGGAACCAAACUCUAGUACUGAGCAGGAGAGAGAGUAGGAGGGGGAGAGUCAGGAACCAAACUCUAGUACUGAGCAGGAGAGAGAGUAGGAGGGGGAGAGUCAGGAACCAAACUCUAGUACUGAGCAGGAAAGAGAGUAGGAGGGGGAGAGUCAGGAACCAAACUCUAGUACUGAGCAGGAGAGAGAGUAGGAGGGGGAGAGUCAGGAACCAAACUCUAGUACUGAGCAGGAGAGAGAGUAGGAGGGGGAGAGUCAGGAACCAAACUCUAGUACUGAGCAGGAGAGAGAGUAGGAGGGGGAGAGUCAGGAACCAAACUCUAGUACUGAGCAGGAGAGAGAGUAGGAGGGGGAGAGUCAGGAACCAAACUCUAGUACUGAGCAGGAGAGAGAGUAGGAGGGGGAGAGUCAGGAACCAAACUCUAGUACUGAGCAGGAGAGAGAGUAGGAGGGGGAGAGUCAGGAACCAAACUCUAGUACUGAGCAGGAGAGAGAGUAGGAGGGGGAGAGUCAGGAACCAAACUCUAGUACUGAGCAGGAGAGAGAGUAGGAGGGGGAGAGUCAGGAACCAAACUCUAGUACUGAGCAGGAAAGAGAGUAGGAGGGGGAGAGUCAGGAACCAAACUCUAGUACUGAGCAGGAGAGAGAGUAGGAGGGGGAGAGUCAGGAACCAAACUCUAGUACUGAGCAGGAGAGAGAGUAGGAGGGGGAGAGUCAGGAACCAAACUCUAGUACUGAGCAGGAGAGAGAGUAGGAGGGGGAGAGUCAGGAACCAAACUCUAGUACUGAGCAGGAGAGAGAGUAGGAGGGGGAGAGUCAGGAACCAAACUCUAGUACUGAGCAGGAGAGAGAGUAGGAGGGGGAGAGUCAGGAACCAAACUCUAGUACUGAGCAGGAGAGAGAGUAGGAGGGGGAGAGUCAGGAACCAAACUCUAGUACUGAGCAGGAAAGAGAGUAGGAGGGGGAGAGUCAGGAACCAAACUCUAGUACUGAGCAGGAGAGAGAGUAGGAGGGGGAGAGUCAGGAACCAAACUCUAGUACUGAGCAGGAGAGAGAGUAGGAGGAUCAGGAACCAAACUCUAGUACUGAGCAGGAGAGAGAGUAGGAGGGGGAGAGUCAGGAACCAAACUCUAGUACUGAGCAGGAGAGAGAGUAGGAGGGGGAGAGUCAGGAACCAAACUCUAGUACUGAGCAGGAGAGAGAGUAGGAGGGGGAGAGUCAGGAACCAAACUCUAGUACUGAGCAGGAGAGGGAGAGUCAGGAACCAAACUCUAGUACUGAGCAGGAGAGAGAGUAGGAGGGGGAGUGUCAGGAACCAAACUCUAGUACUGAGCAGGAGAGAGAGUAGGAGGGGGAGUAUCAGGAACCAAACUCUAGUACUGAGCAGGAGAGAGAGUAGGAGGGGGAGAGUCAGGAACCAAACUCUAGUACUGAGCAGGAGAGAGAGUAGGAGGGGGAGAGUCAGGAACCAAACUCUAGUACUGAGCAGGAGAGAGAGUAGGAGGGGGAGAGUCAGGAACCAAACUCUAGUACUGAGCAGGAGAGAGAGUAGGAGGGGGAGAGUCAGGAACCAAACUCUAGUACUGAGCAGGAGAGAGAGUAGGAGGGGGAGAGUCAGGAACCAAACUCUAGUACUGAGCAGGAGAGAGAGUAGGAGGGGGAGAGUCAGGAACCAAACUCUAGUACUGAGCAGGAGAGAGAGUAGGAGGGGGAGAGUCAGGAACCAAACUCUAGUACUGAGCAGGAGAGAGAGUAGGAGGGGGAGAGUCAGGAACCAAACUCUAGUACUGAGCAGGAGAGAGAGUAGGAGGGGGAGAGUCAGGAACCAAACUCUAGUACUGAGCAGGAGAGAGAGUAGGAGGGGGAGAGUCAGGAACCAAACUCUAGUACUGAGCAGGAAAGAGAGUAGGAGGGGGAGAGUCAGGAACCAAACUCUAGUACUGAGCAGGAGAGAGAGUAGGAGGGGGAGAGUCAGGAACCAAACUCUAGUACUGAGCAGGAGAGAGAGUAGGAGGAUCAGGAACCAAACUCUAGUACUGAGCAGGAGAGAGAGUAGGAGGGGGAGAGUCAGGAACCAAACUCUAGUACUGAGCAGGAGAGAGAGUAGGAGGGGGAGAGUCAGGAACCAAACUCUAGUACUGAGCAGGAGAGAGAGUAGGAGGGGGAGAGUCAGGAACCAAACUCUAGUACUGAGCAGGAGAGGGAGAGUCAGGAACCAAACUCUAGUACUGAGCAGGAGAGAGAGUAGGAGGGGGAGUGUCAGGAACCAAACUCUAGUACUGAGCAGGAGAGAGAGUAGGAGGGGGAGUAUCAGGAACCAAACUCUAGUACUGAGCAGGAGAGAGAGUAGGAGGGGGAGAGUCAGGAACCAAACUCUAGUACUGAGCAGGAGAGAGAGUAGGAGGGGGAGAGUCAGGAACCAAACUCUAGUACUGAGCAGGAGAGAGAGUAGGAGGGGGAGAGUCAGGAACCAAACUCUAGUACUGAGCAGGAGAGAGAGUAGGAGGGGGAGAGUCAGGAACCAAACUCUAGUACUGAGCAGGAGAGAGAGUAGGAGGGGGAGAGUCAGGAACCAAACUCUAGUACUGAGCAGGAGAGAGAGUAGGAGGGGGAGUGUCAGGAACCAAACUCUAGUACUGAGCAGGAGAGAGAGUAGGAGGGGGAGAGUCAGGAACCAAACUCUAGUACUGAGCAGGAGAGAGAGUAGGAGGGGGAGAGUCAGGAACCAAACUCUAGUACUGAGCAGGAGAGAGAGUAGGAGGGGGAGAGUCAGGAACCAAACUCUAGUACUGAGCAGGAGAGAGAGUAGGAGGGGGAGAGUCAGGAACCAAACUCUAGUACUGAGCAGGAGAGAGAGUAGGAGGGGGAGAGUCAGGAACCAAACUCUAGUACUGAGCAGGAGAGAGAGUAGGAGGGGGAGAGUCAGGAACCAAACUCUAGUACUGAGCAGGAGAGAGAGUAGGAGGGGGAGAGUCAGGAACCAAACUCUAGUACUGAGCAGGAGAGAGAGUAGGAGGGGGAGAGUCAGGAGAGAUUGGAACUGUAUAGCAUCAUUAUAA